Molecule: ribosomal RNA, 704 nt
Filed under: uncultured bacterium
Lineage: Bacteria
Description: bacterial SSU rRNA
Rfam family: Bacterial small subunit ribosomal RNA
Source: RNAcentral
GAAACUCCUGCUAAUACCGCAUAGCCAUGAGCACCGCAUGGAGCUCAUGCCAAAUAUCCUUUCGGGGAUAGCGCAGGGAUGGACCUAUGGCGCAUUAGCUUGUUGGCGGGACAACGGCCCACCAAGGCAACGAUGCGUAGCCGGCCUGAGAGGGCGGACGGCCACAUUGGGACUGAGACACGGCCCAGACUCCUACGGGAGGCAGCAGUAGGGAAUUUUCGGCAAUGGGGGAAACCCUGACCGAGCAACGCCGCGUGAGCGAAGAAGGCCUUCGGGUCGUAAAGCUCUGUUGUAAAGGAAGAACGGCGCAUACAGGAAAUGGUAUGCGAGUGACGGUACUUUACCAGAAAGCCACGGCUAACUACGUGCCAGCAGCCGCGGUAAUACGUAGGUGGCGAGCGUUAUCCGGAAUCAUUGGGCGUAAAGAGGGAGCAGGCGGCCGCAAGGGUCUGUGGUGAAAGACCGAAGCUAAACUUCGGUAAGCCAUGGAAACCGGGCGGCUAGAGUGCGGAAGAGGAUCGUGGAAUUCCAUGUGUAGCGGUGAAAUGCGUAGAUAUAUGGAGGAACACCAGUGGCGAAGGCGACGGUCUGGGCCGCAACCGACGCUCAUUCCCGAAAGCGUGGGGAGCAAAUAGGAUUAGAUACCCUAGUAGUCCACGCCGUAAACGAUGGUCACUAAGUGUCGGGGGUCAAACCCCGGUGCU